This 253-nucleotide ribosomal RNA is filed under the name uncultured bacterium. Its description in RNAcentral is "partial 16S ribosomal RNA". It matches the Rfam family "Bacterial small subunit ribosomal RNA", at positions 524 to 776 of the family's 1533-position model. The record is from RNAcentral.
UACGAAGGGGGCUAGCGUUGCUCGGAAUCACUGGGCGUAAAGGGUGCGUAGGCGGGUCCUUAAGUCAGAGGGGAAAUCCUGGAGCUCAACUCCAGAACUGCCUUUGAUACUGAGGAUCUUGAGUUCGGGAGAGGUGAGUGGAACUGCGAGUGUAGAGGUGAAAUUCGUAGAUAUUCGCAAGAACACCAGUGGCGAAGGCGGCUCACUGGCCCGAUACUGACGCUGAGGCACGAAAGCGUGGGGAGCAAACAGG